AAGACCUUACGCUUUUGGAGCGGCCGAUGUCUGAUUAGCUUGUUGGUGAGGUAAAGGCUUACCAAGGCUUCGAUCAGUAGCUGGUCUGAGAGGACGACCAGCCACACUGGGACUGAGACACGGCCCAGACUCCUACGGGAGGCAGCAGUGGGGAAUUUUGGACAAUGGGGGAAACCCUGAUCCAGCCAUGCCGCGUGAGUGAAGAAGGCCUUCGGGUUGUAAAGCUCUUUCAGCCGGAACGAAACGGUUACGAUUAAUACCUGUAACUACUGACGGUACCGGAAGAAGAAGCACCGGCUAACUACGUGCCAGCAGCCGCGGUAAUACGUAGGGUGCAAGCGUUAAUCGGAAUUACUGGGCGUAAAGCGUGCGCAGGUGGUUUUGUAAGUCAGAUGUGAAAUCCCCGGGCUUAACCUGGGAACU
RNAcentral lists this ribosomal RNA (423 nucleotides) under uncultured bacterium. RNAcentral's name for it is "bacterial SSU rRNA". It matches the Rfam family "Bacterial small subunit ribosomal RNA", at positions 207 to 622 of the family's 1533-position model. The record is from RNAcentral.